RNAcentral lists this ribosomal RNA (253 nucleotides) under uncultured bacterium. Its description in RNAcentral is "partial 16S ribosomal RNA". It matches the Rfam family "Bacterial small subunit ribosomal RNA", at positions 524 to 776 of the family's 1533-position model. The record is from RNAcentral.
UACGUAGGUGGCGAGCGUUGUCCGGAUUUACUGGGCGUAAAGGGAGCGUAGGCGGACUUUUAAGUGAGAUGUGAAAUAUUCGGGCUCAACUUGAGUGCUGCAUUUCAAACUGGAAGUCUAGAGUGCAGGAGAGGAGAAUGGAAUUCCUAGUGUAGCGGUGAAAUGCGUAGAGAUUAGGAAGAACACCAGUGGCGAAGGCGAUUCUCUGGACUGUAACUGACGCUGAGGCUCGAAAGCGUGGGGAGCAAACAGG